Phyllostomus discolor (pale spear-nosed bat) is the source of this 1524-nucleotide non-coding RNA. Lineage: Eukaryota; Metazoa; Chordata; Mammalia; Chiroptera; Phyllostomidae. The record is from the annotation of a RefSeq genome assembly.
CAUGGCAGGCAGAAGCAGCUCUCUCCCCCAGGCUCCUGAAGCACCUUGUGCCUCCCUCUUUCAGUACAGCACACUCUUCUGUAACUCCUCUAUGCCUGUCUGCCCCCAAAACUCAGUUCUUUGAAGGCAGAAGCCAUGUUCUGUUCACCUUUAUGUCUCCCAAGUAAUAUCUGAUCUGCAAUAGGUAGUUGGCCCAUGUUUAUUGAACAAACAGUAUAACUGUGGCCUUGCAGCCCUUUCACAUCUCUCGCUGAGGAAGUGGCUAACGCCCAACCACCUUCAUAACGGACAAAGCUUCUCACAAGCAGGCAGCAGCUGAUCGGGGCAGGGGCAGCCAGGGAGCACCAGCACACCUUAGUCACCCCCCCCACCCCCGCCCCGUGCAGCCAUGUGGUGGACCUGUCCCCUCUUCUACCUCACCAUCUUCUGCGCAGAGGUCUCGCUGGACAUAAUUUUGGAAGCAGACACCAAAACUCUGACUGUUCUAAUUGGGGAGACUGCCACCUUCCGCUGCAAUGUAACAGGAGCGGACUUAAAAAAUUAUCAAAUGAGCUGGUAUAAGAAGGAUGAAGAUAACUCCCUGACUUUAGUAUAUAGACUAAGCAACAAUUCUACUGACCAUUCGAAGAGUAAUAUCAAAGGGAAAGUCGACCCUUUAAAAAGUCAGUAUAUACUUGACAUUCAAAAGGCAACGACAAAAGACAUUGGGACUUACUACUGUGGGUCCGAUACCCACAGUGCUGCUCCCCUGCUUCUCACCACCUCAGGAUCCCCGGGGUCAGACCGAGGUGGCAGAUCCGAUUAGAGGCCCUCUUUGGCUAGAAUGUGUACCACACCUUAGAUGAGACCACCUGAUAACCUCCACAGUAACAUCUGAUAAGAGAGACAAGAGCUGAGUUGGGGUUAAGGGCCUUAUCUUUGCAGUUGGUUGAAAGGAGGCUUCUUUAUUGGCCUAGACGGGCAGAAAAUGCUGUUAGGGCUUAGGUGGAAAGACCAAGGAGAUUUGCACCUGUCUCUCCAGACCCCUGAGGAAAGGUUGAAAAAACAACCUUCGGGACUGAGAAGGCCCGAUCGCUGCGGAGGCGGCUGAGGCGAACAGAAUUUCCACUAUCGUCAGUGCUGUAGCUCAUUCCCGAGUCUUUAUUGAGAAAGCGUUCAUGUGCAUAAACUAGAUAAAGCAAGGACGGUUUCCAUUACCAUCCUAAUCAAAAUUUCCAAAGCCAUUAGAGAUAACUUUAACUCUUACUCUGUGAAGAAAGAUGAAUAGAGUCAUUUUCUGAAAUGUUCCUAUAACCAUUUCAAGUACUGAAUGCUUUAUAUCCUCCCCUAGCUACAGAGGAGCCCUGGGUACCUAGGGGGUUGGCUGAGAGAGAUCUCGGAGACAAAUACUUAAGGCAAUGUGGCAUUUAUGAGUUGGUCAUGAAUCAACUGAAUCAGAAAUAUAGGUCCCCCAGCCCCAAGUUGAAACAGGCAGGCCAAAAGUGUCUGACACUACAGGGAGCUAAGCAAGCCCCCCUGCGGGGA